RNAcentral lists this ribosomal RNA (380 nucleotides) under uncultured eukaryote. Its description in RNAcentral is "partial 18S ribosomal RNA". It matches the Rfam family "Eukaryotic small subunit ribosomal RNA", at positions 592 to 976 of the family's 1831-position model. The record is from RNAcentral.
CAAUAGCGUAUAUUAAAGUUGUUGCGGUUAAAAAGCUCGUAGUUGGAUUUCUGCUGAGAACGACCGGUCCGCCCUUUGGGUGUGUAUCUGGCUCUUUCUUGGCAUCUUCUUGGUGAACGUUGCUGCACUUGACUGUGUGGAGCGCUACCCAGGACUUUUACUUUGAGGAAAUUAGAGUGUUUCAAGCAGGCAUACGCCUUGAAUACAUUAGCAUGGAAUAAUAAGAUAGGACCUCGGUUCUAUUUUGUUGGUUUCUAGAGCUGAGGUAAUGAUUAAUAGGGAUAGUUGGGGGCAUUCGUAUCUAACUGUCAGAGGUGAAAUUCUUGGAUUUGUUAAAGACGGACUACUGCGAAANCANNNGCCAAGGAUGUUUUCAUNGA